CGCUGAGUUUGAUCCUGGCUCAGGAUGAACGCUAGCGGCAGGCUUAACACAUGCAAGUCGAGGGGUAUAGUUCUUCGGAGCUAGAGACCGGCGCACGGGUGCGUAACGCGUAUGCAAUCUACCUUUCACAGAGGGAUAGCCCAGAGAAAUUUGGAUUAAUACCUCAUAGUAUAACGACUCGGCAUCGAGAUGUUAUUAAAGUCACAACGGUGAAAGAUGAGCAUGCGUCCCAUUAGCUUGUUGGUAAGGUAACGGCUUACCAAGGCUACGAUGGGUAGGGGUCCUGAGAGGGAGAUCCCCCGACACUGGUACUGAGACACGGACCAGACUCCUACGGGAGCAGCAGUGAGGAAUAUUGGACAAUGGGGCGCAAGCCCUGAUCCCAGCCAUGCCGCGUGCAGGAUGACGGUCCUAUGGAUUGUAAACUGCUUUUGUACA
Molecule: ribosomal RNA, 438 nt
Filed under: uncultured Flavobacterium sp.
Lineage: Bacteria; Pseudomonadati; Bacteroidota; Flavobacteriia; Flavobacteriales; Flavobacteriaceae
Description: bacterial SSU rRNA
Rfam family: Bacterial small subunit ribosomal RNA
Source: RNAcentral